Molecule: non-coding RNA, 1166 nt
Organism: Salmo salar (Atlantic salmon)
Lineage: Eukaryota; Metazoa; Chordata; Actinopteri; Salmoniformes; Salmonidae
Source: RefSeq, a predicted model, not a curated record
UCGUAGUGGUCUCUGACUUGUGGUCAGACUCGCUCAGGUGGAACAAACUUAAUCUACACCUUUUUCAAUGCUGAGUUGAAUGUCAUUCAGAAAUGUAAAAGUAAUCCCAGAAGUAAACUAGUUUUUCUAAACUAUCUGUAAUCCGAAUACAAUAUUUUAGCUGGUAACAUAACUGAUUAGCUGGUACCACAACUCAGCUCAGCAGGGCAAAUGACAAGCUGAUUAGGGGCAGGAUUCCCAGUUUCUGUCCUCCAGAUUAGACCUUCUUCAGCUGGGGACAGGCUGAUGACACCGGACUGCAGGUUCAGCUUCGACACAGGAGACCUGACCACAAAGGAAUGUUAACCCACAAAAAUCCCACAAUUACUUCAAUAACCAACUCACCAUCCCAUCCCCCACAUACUUUCUAAGCACGGUAGGGAGCUUAUUCAAAGAACACCAACCUUUAAGUGUCACAUAACCUCUAGGUUCUCCCAUUAUGAAAACAUUGAAACAAACCUGUACAAACUCAUUGGUCAUGUGUGAGGAGUGAGGACAAUGUCAUUGGGCAGAGGUUGUGUUUCUCUGAGUAACAGUCUGUUUCAUCUACAAUCAAAGAGUGAGGUUUACAGUCCCUCACAAAGAGAAAGAGAGCAAUGGAGAACAUCUUCUCCUCCCAGCCUAGAACGGCUGCCAUUUCUCUGCCUUUUUUGGUCCGGAGCCACCGGCCAUCCAGCAAUGAUGAUAAUAACAGACCAUAGUUAAAGAAAACGUCACAAGCAGAGGGCAGUAGGAAGAACAGUAAGGCGUUUAUUUAGCCUUGUUACAGCAUCCCCCCCAGCUGAGACAAAACACAAUUUCUCCCACCAUUCUACAAAUGUAAAAAUUGCAACAACCAAAAAUUGUCCUCCAAAGAGAGAAACUGGGUAACAAUGGGGGAUAAGAUACUAUUAUUUCAAUCCUGAAUGAUGCAAGAACAUAUCAGUAGCAUGCUUAGAGCGAUUGUACAUGACAGAUUAAGAGUGAACCUCUGACAUCUCUUCACAGCCCUGUGAAGAGACCCUCAGCAAUCAGCAGCCUAUUUAUAGAAUCCCACUUAGCCUGCUCUUCCCUCCCUCUGUUAGUGUGUGUUAGGGAUGUGUGGGUUUGUGUGUAUACAUUCAAAGUCUACGAAAGACUGGAAAUAG